RNAcentral lists this long non-coding RNA (435 nucleotides) under Homo sapiens (human). Its description in RNAcentral is "HSALNT0330682". The record is from RNAcentral. Lineage: Eukaryota; Metazoa; Chordata; Mammalia; Primates; Hominidae.
CCGCAACUAUAGCUUGGCUGCGGGCAGGGCCAGCCUCACAGGUUGCUGAGUUCCAGUAGGGUCUGGUCCCAGCAGCUGCUCUUUGCUGGGUGUCAUUCCUGUCACUGUGAGGACACUGGCAAACCAAAGAGAUUGGUCCUUGUCUUUGGGACUCCUAGAGUUGAGGACAGAUAAUGCAUAGGAAGAAUCAGAGACUGUAACGGAUGCGAUCAACUUGAACAGAUGGGAGAUAUUAAGCACCAAGAGGGUGAAUGAGGAGGUUUCUUACUUCCUGGUCACAAAAUGGCUGCCGAAGUCCAUAAGCUAAAUCCUAAUGUGAGUGAACAUGAUCAAGAAGUUCACAAUUUUAAGUGGUCUAUACUUCAUCUGUACUCCAGAUAUGUGGUUAACAAUAUUGCUGGCUGUGAACGUCCUCUUCGUUUUAAGAUUUAUUCU